GUGCCUUAGGGUUGAACUAGUCCCGGAUAUUUAAUCAUUCCCACCAACUUCACAUUCUCAGUGAAGUUUUUCCUUGUUGUCUUAUCUGAUAAUUCAAGAUGGAAAUAUA
RNAcentral lists this small nucleolar RNA (109 nucleotides) under Amborella trichopoda. RNAcentral's name for it is "Small nucleolar RNA snoR99". It matches the Rfam family "Small nucleolar RNA snoR99". Lineage: Eukaryota; Viridiplantae; Streptophyta; Magnoliopsida; Amborellales; Amborellaceae. The record is from Rfam by way of RNAcentral.